RNAcentral lists this small nuclear RNA (125 nucleotides) under Fukomys damarensis (Damara mole-rat). Its description in RNAcentral is "U4 spliceosomal RNA (ENSFDAG00000020618.1)". The stretch from base 1 to 74 matches the Rfam family "U4 spliceosomal RNA". Rfam says of the family: U4 small nuclear RNA (U4 snRNA) is a component of the major U2-dependent spliceosome. The structure of U4 snRNA from yeast and human has been reported. U4 snRNA presents a k-turn RNA motif in the 5p-SL related to recognition of Snu13 protein. The record is from RNAcentral. Lineage: Eukaryota; Metazoa; Chordata; Mammalia; Rodentia; Bathyergidae.
AGCUUUGCACAGUGGCAGUAUCGUAGCCAGUGAGGUUUAUCCGAGGUGCAAUUAUUGCCAAAAGACUAUUGCCAGGCAAGGGGGUUUGUGCUCAUAAUCCCAACAAUUCAGGAGGUUUAGGCAAG